UGCAAGUCGAACGCACUCUCGUUUAGAUUGAAGGAGCUUGCUCCUGAUUGAUAAACAUUUGAGUGAGUGGCGGACGGGUGAGUAACACGUGGGUAACCUGCCCUAAAGUGGGGGAUAACAUUUGGAAACAGAUGCUAAUACCGCAUAAAACCUAACACCGCAUGGUGUAGGGUUGAAAGAUGGUUUCGGCUAUCACUUUAGGAUGGACCCGCGGUGCAUUAGUUAGUUGGUGAGGUAAAGGCUCACCAAGACCGUGAUGCAUAGCCGACCUGAGAGGGUAAUCGGCCACACUGGGACUGAGACACGGCCCAGACUCCUACGGGAGGCAGCAGUAGGGAAUCUUCCACAAUGGACGAAAGUCUGAUGGAGCAACGCCGCGUGAGUGAAGAAGGUUUUCGGAUCGUAAAACUCUGUUGUUGGAGAAGAAUGUAUCUGAUAGUAACUGAUCAGGUAGUGACGGUAUCCAACCAGAAAGCCACGGCUAACUACGUGCCAGCAGCCGCGGUAAUACGUAGGUGGCAAGCGUUGUCCGGAUUUAUUGGGCGUAAAGCGAGCGCAGGCGGUUUCUUAAGUCUGAUGUGAAAGCCUUCGGCUCAACCGAAGAAGUGCAUCGGAAACUGGGAAACUUGAGUGCAGAAGAGGACAGUGGAACUCCAUGUGUAGCGGU
This 667-nucleotide ribosomal RNA is filed under the name Latilactobacillus sakei. RNAcentral describes it as "bacterial SSU rRNA". It matches the Rfam family "Bacterial small subunit ribosomal RNA", at positions 56 to 682 of the family's 1533-position model. The record is from RNAcentral. Lineage: Bacteria; Bacillati; Bacillota; Bacilli; Lactobacillales; Lactobacillaceae.